RNAcentral lists this long non-coding RNA (1033 nucleotides) under Junco hyemalis (dark-eyed junco). RNAcentral describes it as "lncRNA (ENSJHYG00000001857.1)". Lineage: Eukaryota; Metazoa; Chordata; Aves; Passeriformes; Passerellidae. The record is from RNAcentral.
GGCUGCUCCAGCGGGAUGAGCUGCUCUGGCAGGGCGAGCUGCCCGUGCUGCAGCAGCCGCGGGGCUGAGGGCUGCCAGCGUCACUGCUCUGCCUCUGCUGGGCACCAGGGACAGCCCAGCUCGGCGUGGGGACCCUGCCAUGCUGCUGCUCACCCUGGAGCAGUUUCCACUUCUCUUUCUUGGGCGCCCGCUGAGCAAGGGGGGCUGCCCAGUUUUGCAUUUUUAUUCUGCAAGGGGAGAACUGUGCCUGAGGGUGUCACUCAGGUGAGUGCCCCGUGUUCUUGUGAGCAGCGAGAGGCUCCUUUUGUGUCCGAGCUCUGCUCCCAGCAGCGGUUUGAGCUUCCAGGCUCAGGACUCCCCAUCCCUGUCCCGUCCCUUGUGUCCGGUGUGAGGACAGGUCCCACCCACCCAAAGCCAUCGCGGGGCGCUCCAGGUGACACCUGCACCCCACCCACGGCUGUAUCACCCGGGGCUGGGUCAGGACCCUUUGGUGAUGGGCUGUGACCCAAGGAUAUUCCCAGGGGUCCGGACAGCCUCUCCCGAUGCCGCAGCCCGGAGGGGGACAGGACCCGUCCCGAGCGCUCCCCGCUGGCACCGAGCCCCGUCCGCGGCUCCCGGGGGGAGCGGCCGCAGUUCCCGAGCGCCUUUCCCAGCACGGAGACCGAGCCCCGCCGUUCCCGUCCUUCUGAUCCCUCUCUGGCCGCCAAUUAGCACGACGUGAGAACUUGUCUCGCUGCUGACGCGCCCGUGUGACUCCUCAGAUGCUUUAAUUGCGGUGUUUUCUGCGGCCGGGUGCAAUGAAAUGGUAAUUGUUGUGAUUGUGCGCCGGGCGGGAACUGAGAGAUGCAGCUCUUUGGCGAAGCCUAAUUAGGAAAUAGGGACACUGUUGGGAAUGGCUCUGCGAUGUGAUUUUCCUAAUGAAAGCCGCUGAAUAGGCAGCCUUGUGAUGAAGAACAGCCUCGCGAGGGCACUGCCAAUUGCUCUUCUCUAGUGUUAAUUUUGUAUUUCCUCCCCAUUGUUUCUAAUACCCUCU